UGCCAGCCGCCGCGGUAAGACGGAGGGUGCAAACGUUGUUCGGAAUCACUGGGCAUAAAGCGCACGUAGGCGGCUGGGUCAGUCUGUUGUGAAAGCCCUCGGCUCAACCGGGGAAUUGCAAUGGAUACUGCCCGGCUUGAGGACGGUUGGGGUGAGUGGAACUCCUGGUGGAGCGGUGAAAUGCGUAGAUAUCAGGAGGAACACCAGUGGCGAAAGCGGCUCACUGGACCGUAUCUGACGCUGAGGUGCGAAAGCUAGGGUAGCGAACGGGAUUAGAUA
This 279-nucleotide ribosomal RNA is filed under the name uncultured bacterium. RNAcentral describes it as "partial 16S ribosomal RNA". It matches the Rfam family "Bacterial small subunit ribosomal RNA", at positions 506 to 784 of the family's 1533-position model. The record is from RNAcentral.